This is a long non-coding RNA of Acanthochromis polyacanthus (spiny chromis), 938 nucleotides long. RefSeq lists it as uncharacterized. The record is from RefSeq and is a predicted model, not a curated record. Lineage: Eukaryota; Metazoa; Chordata; Actinopteri; Pomacentridae. The transcript is spliced from 3 exons.
UCUGUUUCCAGGGGCAUGGCCAUAUCUGUCCUGUGUCCCCUUCACGGGCCACCAGAUUAGCGUAGGCUGACAGCUCUCCAGGGUAGCCUUCCCUCCCACUGGGGUACAGCGUCAUUUGGAAGGUGGUCUCAGAAAGGUUGAUGUCAUCCAGAGACAGUCCCCCAGCUGCGGGUCCAGAGCCUACUUUGGUGCCUUCAAAGACGACGCGGAAUUUGGUUUUGGCGUCUAGACUCACGUGGUGCAGCUGCCACAGCUCCUGAGGGGAUCCUGUAACAAGACAUACUAUGCUCCUCUGUCUGUUCUGGCCCUGGGCCGCUGCUCUCCUCCUCUGUUGUUUUCUGGAUUGUACUCAGCUGCAUGCCUUCGUCCACCCGGCCUCCGUUGACUCGUCCCACCUGCCGUCUCUGGAGCUGAAGCUGGAUUGGAACAGACCAAAGUACAGUUCAAUCACGAUGCCAGCUGCCUCUCAAAAGGCUCCUUCACCUGGCAGCACUUCUUCUGAGGGGAAGCUGAGCUUCAGCAGAACUUUGGAGAUGUGUUCCAGUGGUUGGUGGAUGUGUGGGGAGAUAGAGAGGGACCUUUGAAUUGUUCAGAAAGGAAAACACGGAACCCAUUGGUAGUUUUAGUUUAGGGUGCUACUGCGGUGUGAUUUUGGGGUUUUAAGAGGUGAACAGGAAGAGUUUUUUUUCGUACUGAUGAUCUUUUACUUUGUUCCUGGUUGGAAUGUCCAUCAAUGUCAACGUGAAGUUCACUUUUAAUUCUGUUGAUUUAUUUUUAUUUUACUAACACCCGUUUGCUUUUAACUGCCUCACAUGUUGUGUUGUUGUAAACUUACUCUUUCAAAUAUACACUCGUCUAACCCUCUGGAAACCAGUGUUUAGACUGUUUUUGUGUUGCUCCUCACCUACUUCAGACAGCCAGGACACAACAACGUUUUG